GUAAUAAACUUGGGGCACAUUCGAUAAAAUUGGAACGAUAGAGAAAUGAUUAGCAUGGCCCCGUGCAAGGAUGACGUACACAAAUCAAAAAAUUGCAUCAAAGCCAA
Small nuclear RNA from Cucurbita maxima (winter squash), 107 nucleotides. NCBI's taxonomy places the organism in Eukaryota, Viridiplantae, Streptophyta, Magnoliopsida, Cucurbitales, Cucurbitaceae. The record is from RefSeq and is a predicted model, not a curated record.